AUCCUGGCUCAGGAUGAACGCUAGCUACAGGCUUAACACAUGCAAGUCGAGGGGCAGCAUGAGAUUAGCUUGCUGAUCUUGAUGGCGACCGGCGCACGGGUGAGUAACGCGUAUCCAACCUUCCCCAUACUCAGGCAUAGCCCGGUGAAAACCGGAUUAACUCCUGAUAGUUUCACUAGAUGGCAUCUGACGGUGAAUAAAGCUCAGCGGUAAGGGAUGGGGAUGCGUCUGAUUAGCUUGUUGGCGGGUAACGGCCCACCAAGGCGACGAUCAGUAGGGUUCUGAGAGGAAGGUCCCCCACAUUGGAACUGAGACACGGUCCAAACUCCUACGGGAGGCAGCAGUGAGGAAUAUUGGUCAAUGGGCGGAAGCCUGAACCAGCCAAGUAGCGUGCCAGGACGACGGCCCUAUGGGUUGUAAACUGCUUUUGUGCGGGAAUAAAGUCAGGGACGUGUCCCUGUUUGCAUGUACCGCAAGAAUAAGGACCGGCUAAUUCCGUGCCAGCCGCUGC
RNAcentral lists this ribosomal RNA (511 nucleotides) under uncultured bacterium. RNAcentral describes it as "bacterial SSU rRNA". It matches the Rfam family "Bacterial small subunit ribosomal RNA", at positions 16 to 518 of the family's 1533-position model. The record is from RNAcentral.